RNAcentral lists this long non-coding RNA (915 nucleotides) under Homo sapiens (human). Its description in RNAcentral is "HSALNT0359078". The record is from RNAcentral. Lineage: Eukaryota; Metazoa; Chordata; Mammalia; Primates; Hominidae.
GGCAUUGUCCGCGACGCAGCUCGGGAUCCGGGUCGGGGUGUCGGCCGGGUUGCUGCCGGGCACCGUCGAGCGUUAGCCACCCAGCAUUGAGCUGCCAGCGGCUGUUCUCCCUAAGCACCCUCGCUCACGUCGCCUCGCCUCGCCUCGCCUGACCGGCCGCAGCCUUGGAUACCAGCCUUAAAUCGAGCCGACUACGGCCCAGCCCCGCCCGCGGCGAGGUGCGCGGGGUUCGGUGCCAGCCGCUCGCCCCUGGCGGGGCCAGCCUCUUGAUGCACCGGGGACGGGCGCCCCCAUCCGACUCUUCGAGGGGCGGCAGGGCCCCAUCUGUGUCUUUCGCUCUCGAGCCCCCAGCUAGAGUUGGCUUCAGCGGAAUACCUACUGUGCGGGAUUAUUCAACAAGCCGAUUGAUCACAUUCUUCAGCUCUAGCAGUGCAAAGGCUUCACUGAAAAAGAACAUUACAAAUUUUUUUUGAAAGAAAUUUGGGGGAAUCCACUGAAGACCUACAUUUCCCGGAAGGUUAACAGCCCCCUUCUCAGUUUUCCUGAUAUAAAUUUAAUUCACAGUUGGGCAGGGCAUGGUGCCUCACACCUAUAAUCCGAGCACUUUGGGAGCCCGAGGCACGCGGAUCACCUGAGGUUAGGAGUUCAAGACCAGCCUGGGCAACAUGGUGAAACCCCGUCUCUACUAAAAAUACAAAAAUUACUACUCGGGAGGCUGAGGUAGGAGAGUCGCUUGAACCCGGGAGACAGAGGUUUCAGUGAGCCCAGAUCGCGCCACCAUACUCCAGCCUGGGCAACAGAGCGAUGCUCCAUCUUAAAAAAAAAAAAAAUCAAAAUAAAAUACAAUAAAAAAUAAAAAUAAAAUUUAAUUCACAGUUGUAACCAGCCUAAAUUAAAAAUAUUUCUUAAGAAAAA